GAUGAACGCUAGCUACAGGCUUAACACAUGCAAGUCGAGGGGAAACGAUAUUGGAAGCUUGCUUCCGAUAGGCGUCGACCGGCGCACGGGUGAGUAACGCGUAUCCAACCUGCCCAUCACUUGGGAAUAACCUUGCGAAAGUAAGACUAAUGCCCAAUGACAUUUAUAGAAGGCAUCUGAAAUGAAUUAAAGAUUUAUCGGUGAUGGAUGGGGAUGCGUCUGAUUAGCUUGUUGGCGGGGUAACGGCCCACCAAGGCGACGAUCAGUAGGGGUUCUGAGAGGAAGGUCCCCCACAUUGGAACUGAGACACGGUCCAAACUCCUACGGGAGGCAGCAGUGAGGAAUAUUGGUCAAUGGGCGAGAGCCUGAACCAGCCAAGUAGCGUGCAGGAAGACGGCCCUAUGGGUUGUAAACUGCUUUUAUAGGGGAAUAAAGUGAGCCACGUGUGGUUUUUUGCAUGUACCCUAUGAAUAAGGACCGGCUAAUUCCGUGCCAGCAGCCGCGGUAAUACGGAAGGUCCGGGCGUUAUCCGGAUUUAUUGGGUUUAAAGGGAGCGUAGGCCGGAGAUUAAGCGUGUUGUGAAAUGUAGACGCUCAACGUCUGCACUGCAGCGCGAACUGGUUUCCUUGAGUACGCAUAAAGUGGGCGGAAUUCGUGGUGUAGCGGUGAAAUGCUUAGAUAUCACGAAGAACUCCGAUUGCGAAGGCAGCUCACUGGGGCGCAACUGACGCUGAAGCUCGAAAGCGCGGGUAUCGAACAGG
This 761-nucleotide ribosomal RNA is filed under the name uncultured bacterium. Its description in RNAcentral is "bacterial SSU rRNA". It matches the Rfam family "Bacterial small subunit ribosomal RNA", at positions 28 to 776 of the family's 1533-position model. The record is from RNAcentral.